CCCACAAAGAAAUAAAGCUCAUCUUCUUGUUGGUGAUAAUUACAAGUCAUUAUUGAAAUCUGCAAAGGUGGUGGUUGUGAUGGACAUGAUUGUACUUGGAAAGUAGACCCACGAGUGAUUCAACUUCUUCUAACUUAGCAGGUGAUAAUAAUUGAUCAACUAGUUCAAAGAGUUGUCCGUUUCUCUCUGCAACAAAAGUGGUCGAGUCUGGCAAGUUUGGAUUUCUUCAAGUCUUCAAACUCAGGUCCUCUCAUUGCAUUCCGACUUGAGCAACCGACUUCAAUUUAGUAUCCGG
This 295-nucleotide long non-coding RNA is filed under the name Lupinus angustifolius (narrow-leaved blue lupine). RNAcentral's name for it is "long non-coding RNA (LANG_LNC001101)". Lineage: Eukaryota; Viridiplantae; Streptophyta; Magnoliopsida; Fabales; Fabaceae. The record is from RNAcentral.